RNA transcript from Hevea brasiliensis (rubber tree), 509 nucleotides. RefSeq lists it as uncharacterized. NCBI's taxonomy places the organism in Eukaryota, Viridiplantae, Streptophyta, Magnoliopsida, Malpighiales, Euphorbiaceae. The transcript has 3 exons. The record is from RefSeq and is a predicted model, not a curated record.
AGAGAAAAAAAAAAUUGCAAAAUUGCAAUACAAUAUGAAAUUCAAAUACCUCAUUAUUUGAGAUCCACAUCCAAAUGGCCCCGAAGAUUAUAUUUUGAGGAAGAUAAGUUAGAUAUACUUACCUCUGAUUUACAAGUACGUUUAUUUCUUAUUUACCUUAGCUUUCCACUGAUCUUGUAGUUACUGAUUAAAUUGGAGGACAACAGAUUGAUUAAAACUGUUGGCAUACCAGUUGAAGAUGAAAAAGGUUCAAUGCGCCUUACUGCAUGUGUCUAAUCUCAGGUUGGCUGUCCAAUGCGUUGCUCAUUCUGUGCCACCGGAAAAGGAGGGUAUUCAAGAAAUCUUCAAAGGCAUGAAAUUGUUGAGCAGGUUUUGGCUAUUGAGGAGAUCUUCAAACUUUGAGUGACAAACGUAGUCUUUAUGGGAAUGGGUGAACCAACGCUGAACUUGAAGUCUGUCUUCAAAGCUCACCGAUGCUUGAAUAAGGUGAAUUUUUAUUUAUUUUAUCU